Syngnathus acus (greater pipefish) is the source of this 1253-nucleotide long non-coding RNA. RefSeq lists it as uncharacterized. The transcript has 3 exons. The record is from RefSeq and is a predicted model, not a curated record. NCBI's taxonomy places the organism in Eukaryota, Metazoa, Chordata, Actinopteri, Syngnathiformes, Syngnathidae.
UCGGCUUCUUUGUUUCUUGUUCAGGUGUUCCUUGCUACCUUGUCAAUUUGUUUGUAUUUAGUUUCCUGCUUUCGUUCACUUCUGUUUGUUCAUUGUCCAUGCCACAUGUAGUUGAUGUCCGUUUGUUUGUCCAAGACAAGUUUCUAGCAUAUUUGUUGGCUUACUUUUUUUGGACUUGUGUUUCUGAUCAUGCACAAGUUGCUUGCCUCUUUUGUUUUAAUUUGUUUUAAUUUAGUUUUUGUUUUUCAUCUUGCCCUCGCCUGCCGCUGACAACAUUAGAAACACAGUAAAUGGAGUCACCAAUGGCACCCAAGGAAGCAUCCAGUCUGAAAAAGUAACAAAGCGAGAAAACAAGCUACAAGUCUCCGCCUUGGUUUAAAGGAAUUUCAGCCUUUCUUUCUCUGUGUGCUCGGCUCGCCCGCACAAUAGACGUGUUAUUUGCUCACGGCCAAAAUCGUAACCCAAGGUGCUGCGGCUACGUUUCCGAGCCGGUCUUCAGCUGUGCGAGCGAGUAAGUUUCACCUUUAAAACAAAACCCCCCAAAAACAAUGCAGUGUGUCUCAAGGAGCCGUAAGGCACAAUGAUGGAUGAUUGUUUCUCUUGGAAGGAAGCCUCAUAAAAAUGGAAUCGAAUCUAAGCUUCAUGUGUGUGUGUGUGUGUGCAUGCGUGCGUGUGUUUUUUUGUUUUGAUGUGAGGCAACCUAACUGAAGUUGCCAGGCAACCCAAUAAAAUCUUAAGGCUGCCUCCUGAAUUUCACCUGGUCCUGCUUGUGUGUGUGUUUGUGUGUGUUUCAUCAUUUCGCUAUUUGAAGACAUGUUUUUGCUAGUCCACGCAGAGCAGUGACCAAAUAUUUUCAAAGUACUGCCAUGAUGAAAGAUGCUGAAAGGCUGCUUUUAUCUUUAGAAGGCACAAUGUUAAUUGGAAUACUAAUCCCUGUGAUGUCAGCUUAGGUUGUGUUGCUUUCAGUGAGCAACUGGCAUGCACUCUUUAAUGCAACGUUUUCUUGUCAAAAUAUUGACUUUCUUCUCCGAGCAUUCUCUUUUCUCCUCAAAAACUUUUUGUUGACAUAAUCCGACUGUAGUGUCUUUCUUUUGGCAUUUUCAUAGACGGAUGCAGUUACAAAGGGGUGUUUGCGCCGUUGUGGGAAUCAGAGCAGCUCUCAUUAUUCCCUUUAAAUUCAGCACAGGAGAGACGCACUCGACAUGACGGAAGUAUAACGGACUAGGUGGAAUCCGCCGUGCAAGAGAUUGUUG